RNAcentral lists this ribosomal RNA (257 nucleotides) under uncultured bacterium. RNAcentral describes it as "partial 16S ribosomal RNA". It matches the Rfam family "Bacterial small subunit ribosomal RNA", at positions 524 to 777 of the family's 1533-position model. The record is from RNAcentral.
UACGUAGGUGACCAGCGUUGUCCGGAUUUACUGGGCGUAAAGAGCGCGCAGGCGGUCGUUCAAGUCGAGUGUGAAAGCCCCCCGGCUCAACUGGGGAGGGUCACUCGAUACUGAUCGACUUGAAGGCAGGAGAGGGAAGCGGAAUUCCCCGGUGUAGUGGUGAAAUGCGUAGAUAUCGGGAGGAACACCUGUGGCGAAAGCGGCGCACUGGACCAUAACUGACGCUGAGGCGCGAAAAGCUAGGGGAGCAAACAGGG